AGAUCAGUGGCAGCUUAUCCCGCUUUCAGCUGUCACAGCUGUGCCUCUUCACUCUUCUUCUAGCCCUAUCACACUCCCUGGCAGCCUUUAAAGUACCUCCUUCCCUGUGGAAUUUCUGCAAAUCAUUUACUCAAAUGCCAAGAUACCAUAGAAGCAGCUGUUUCUGAGAAAAUUUGUUCAGGCUUACAUAUUUGUUGUGAUGAAGAAUAUUGCAUUAAAGAAUCCUUUGCUGCUGCACUAGGAAGCAUGCUGUGCUCUACCCUGAAGAGAGGGUUAAACAAUGGUUCUGAGGGGCAGGUGCACCCCUUAGUCAAGAACUUUCAACCCUGGCUCAUGCAGUGACACAGUUUGCAAACCUGCUGGCUAAUUCUCCAAAACAAUUUGAUAGUGCUCCUUCAAUAUUAAAUAGAACACGAGGAUGGCUGCUGAUGAAAGAUAACAACAGCUGAAGGAGGCAGUGCAAAUGGAAGUCAACUACCAUCUUCAGCUCAGCAGAUUAAGACUUCCUUGAAUAGUAUGCAAGAAAAUUAUGAAGAUUCCUUCAAAGCAUGAUUUCCGUGGUGACUGCAGAAGCAGGACAGUGCCUGUGGGACAUGGAUUUAGAAACUCCAAAGUGGUGCAAAGAACUGACAAGCCUGAGCAACUGAAGAGUUGAGGCAGCCGCUUACAGAACCACAAUGUGGGUAACACCACAGUCUGAUGAAGAACAGAGAAACUCUCAUUUGUUUUCAACUAAUGAGCUAAAGAAGCUGAACUAUCAAUUAUGUAAGACCAUAUAAUUUUUAACAUUUCAAAGCACCUGAGGAUCUUUACCUCUUUAUUUUGGUCUCAGGCUAACCACAAACAAUCCUGUACUGGUAAUUUUGGAUGUCGGUGUUUUGUGGAAAACUACCCCUCAUUAUCGUUUGUGGGUGCUAAUAUCUCAUAACUUACUACAGCAAUAAGUAAAAUCUUUGUUAGGCUGACUGGAUUAAAGUAAUUUGUUGAUGUUCAAG
This is a non-coding RNA of Anas platyrhynchos (mallard), 995 nucleotides long. NCBI's taxonomy places the organism in Eukaryota, Metazoa, Chordata, Aves, Anseriformes, Anatidae. The record is from RefSeq and is a predicted model, not a curated record.